CCAGUAACGGCGAGUGAAGCGGCAACAGCUCAAAUUUGAAAUCUGGCCCCCCGCGGGCCCGAGUUGUACUUUGGAGAGGACGCUUCUGGCGCGGCGCCGUCCGAGUUCCCUGGAACGGGACGCCGGAGAGGGUGAGAGCCCCGUACGGGCGGCCGCCUAGCCUCUGCGAAGCUCCUUCGACGAGUCGAGUAGUUUGGGAAUGCUGCUCAAAAUGGGAGGUAAAUUUCUUCUAAAGCUAAAUACCGGCCAGAGACCGAUAGCGCACAAGUAGAGUGAUCGAAAGAUGAAAAGCACUUUGAAAAGAGGGUCAAACAGUACGUGAAAUUGUUGAAAGGGAAGCGCCUGUGGCCAGACUUGCGCCCCGCGGACCACCCGGCGCCUCGCGCGCCGGGGCACGCCAGCGGGGCGCAGGCCAGCAUCGGCUCUCUCGGGGGGACAAAGGCCGCGGGAACGUAGCGCCCUCGCGGCGUAUUAUAGCCCGCGGCGCCAUGCCCCCGGGGGGGCCGAGGACCGCGCUCCGGCAAGGAUGCUGGCGUAAUGGCCACCGGCGACCCGUCUUGAAACACGGACCAAGGAGUCAAGCAUUGGGGCGAGUGUCUGGGUGGCAAGCCCGCACGCGGAAUGAAAGUGAACGCAGGUGGGAGCUUCGGCGCACCACCGACCGAUCCUGAUGUCCUCGGAUGGAUUUGAGUAGGAGCCCCGCCGCUUGGACCCGAAAGA
This 720-nucleotide ribosomal RNA is filed under the name Harringtonia lauricola. RNAcentral's name for it is "eukaryotic LSU rRNA". It matches the Rfam family "Eukaryotic large subunit ribosomal RNA", at positions 80 to 823 of the family's 3401-position model. Lineage: Eukaryota; Fungi; Ascomycota; Sordariomycetes; Ophiostomatales; Ophiostomataceae. The record is from RNAcentral.